CCUACGGGAGGCAGCAGUGAGGAAUAUUGGUCAAUGGCCGGAAGGCUGAACCAGCCAUGCCGCGUGAAGGUCAAUGCCCUAUGGGCGUUAAACUUCUUUUGUGCGGGAGCAAUAAUGGUCACGUGUGGCCAGACGAGAGUACCGUACGAAUAAGCAUCGGCUAACUCCGUGCCAGCAGCCGCGGUAAUACGGGGGAUGCAAGCGUUAUCCGGAUUUAUUGGGUUUAAAGGGUGCGUAGGCUGUGAGGUAAGUCAGCGGUGAAAUGCCCCCGCUCAACGGGGUGAAGUGCCAUUGAUACUGCCUGGCUGGAAUGCGGAUGCCGUGGGAGGAAUGUGUGGUGUAGCGGUGAAAUGCAGAGAUAUCACACAGAACACCGAUUGCGAAGGCAUCUCACGAAUCCGCGAUUGACGCUGAUGCACGAAAGCGUGGGUAUCAAACAGGAUUAGAUACCCUGGUAGUC
RNAcentral lists this ribosomal RNA (460 nucleotides) under uncultured bacterium. RNAcentral's name for it is "partial 16S ribosomal RNA". It matches the Rfam family "Bacterial small subunit ribosomal RNA", at positions 338 to 795 of the family's 1533-position model. The record is from RNAcentral.